GUUUGAUUCAGUCAGUCACGAAGUUUUGGAGCGAAAACACUGCGUUGUUAGAAACCUGUUUCUACAGAGUUGUUCGCUUUUGCAUAAGGUUUUGCAGAACAUAACUUAACCAGCACCGGAAGCGUGAGAUGUGAGGGUUUUCAGUACCACAUAUUGAUUACAUCUCUACAUUUAUUGAGUCUUGUUCUUCCUAUUCGUACAAUACCGUACCGUUAUAUCUGGCGCCCAACCUAACCGAACCUGGACAGACCCAUAAGGAGAGGGUUUCGUGCUUGUAGCUGAGAAGCCUAGAGACGAAGACGUCUUUCCUACCAC
Molecule: long non-coding RNA, 315 nt
Organism: Mya arenaria
Lineage: Eukaryota; Metazoa; Mollusca; Bivalvia; Myida; Myidae
Exons: 3
Source: RefSeq, a predicted model, not a curated record